UUAGUACUCCCUCCGCCCAACAAAGGAUGUCUCAACUUUGACCAAAUUCGAAUGCAUCUAUACACUAAGUCAUGUCUAGAUACAUCCAAAUUUUGACAAACUUGAGACAUCUUUUGUUGGACGGAGGAAGAACAUU
Non-coding RNA from Brachypodium distachyon (stiff brome), 136 nucleotides. NCBI's taxonomy places the organism in Eukaryota, Viridiplantae, Streptophyta, Magnoliopsida, Poales, Poaceae. The record is from Rfam.